UACCAGACUCCUACGGGAGGCAGCAGUGAGGAAUAUUGGUCAAUGGGCUAAGGCCUGAACCAGCCAAGUCGCGUGAGGGAAGACGGUCCUAUGGAUUGUAAACCUCUUUUGUCGGGGAGCAAAAGACGCCACGUGUGGCGUUCCGAGAGUACCCGAAGAAAAAGCAUCGGCUAACUCCGUGCCAGCAGCCGUGGUAAUACGGAGGAUGCGAGCGUUAUUCGGAUUUAUUGGGUUUAAAGGGUGCGUAGGCGGACUGGAAAGUCAGCGGUAAAAUCGAGAGGCUCAACCUCUUUCCGCCGUUGAAACUGUCGGUCUUGAGUGGGCGAGAAGUAUGCGGAAUGCGUGGUGUAGCGGUGAAAUGCAUAGAUAUCACGCAGAACUCCGAUUGCGAAGGCAGCAUACCGGCGCCCAACUGACGCUGAAGCACGAAAGCGUGGGUAUCGAACAGGAUUAGAUACCCCCGUAGA
This 467-nucleotide ribosomal RNA is filed under the name uncultured bacterium. Its description in RNAcentral is "bacterial SSU rRNA". It matches the Rfam family "Bacterial small subunit ribosomal RNA", at positions 329 to 794 of the family's 1533-position model. The record is from RNAcentral.